Molecule: ribosomal RNA, 274 nt
Filed under: uncultured bacterium
Lineage: Bacteria
Description: partial 16S ribosomal RNA
Rfam family: Bacterial small subunit ribosomal RNA
Source: RNAcentral
AUACGGAGGGUGCAAGCGUUACUCGGAAUCACUGGGCGUAAAGCGCGCGCAGGCGGCUUGAUAAGUUGGAUGUGAAAGCCUACGGCUCAACCGUAGAACUGCAUCCAAAACUGUCAGGCUAGAGUGUGGGAGAGGAAGAUGGAAUUAGUUGUGUAGGGGUAAAAUCCGUAGAGAUAACUAGGAAUACCAAAAGCGAAGGCAAUCUUCUGGAACACUACUGACGCUGAGGCGCGAAGGCGUGGGGAGCAAACAGGAUUAGAUACCCCUGUAGUCC